Molecule: small nuclear RNA, 22 nt
Filed under: Arabidopsis thaliana (thale cress)
Lineage: Eukaryota; Viridiplantae; Streptophyta; Magnoliopsida; Brassicales; Brassicaceae
Description: snRNA_04321
Source: RNAcentral
CAAGGGCCUGCCGCUCCCCUCU